Long non-coding RNA from Mastomys coucha (southern multimammate mouse), 609 nucleotides. RefSeq lists it as uncharacterized. The transcript is spliced from 3 exons. NCBI's taxonomy places the organism in Eukaryota, Metazoa, Chordata, Mammalia, Rodentia, Muridae. The record is from RefSeq and is a predicted model, not a curated record.
UUCCCACGCUCCCGCUCCGGGCCGGGGGCGUUCUCAGGCCGGCGUGGCCGCGCUCGCCACCGCCGCGGAGGCCAGGCUGUAAUUAGGGUAAUUGCGCGGCUCCGCGCCUAGGGCAAAUGCAGGACCCUGGCUGUGCAGCGCUAGUCCGAGAUGGGCAGGGACAGCGAGCGGGGGCUGGGAAUGUCGCAGCCUGGUCCUCCAGACAGGCCAACCAUAGGCCCUCUGUGUUCUGCUCCCAGCCUGAGCCACCUCAUCCCCUGGUCAGAUGGGCUCUUUUCUGGUUUCUGAAGUUAUAUAGAGAAAAGUGCUGAACUCUGGGAGCAAACCUGCUUUAUAUUUUAGAAAACCGUUUCUCUGGGAAGGAUGUACGGAAGUUUUGGCAGCAGCAAUUUCUGCAAGACCCCUACAUCCAUCUGCAGCAGACUGUGCAGGACAGUGGUGGCUGUGAAUCCUACAGUGGAAAUGGAGGACCACUGCAAACUUCAACAGACCACGGCUGAUGAUAUCCAGGAUUCAGACUCUGGUGUUAGAAACAAACAAACCAACAAACAAACAGCAGGUCACAUGCACAUAGGUUUGAUGUGAUUCUCAAAUACAGUAUACAGAUGU